Molecule: long non-coding RNA, 256 nt
Filed under: Setaria viridis
Lineage: Eukaryota; Viridiplantae; Streptophyta; Magnoliopsida; Poales; Poaceae
Description: long non-coding RNA (SVIR_LNC003351)
Source: RNAcentral
UGAAUCGCACCCUACUCCAUUGCUUCAGUGAUAGGCUUCGGAGGUGUCAAGAACUCUCUUGUCAUACACCUCUUUCUAGAGGGAUGAUGUUGAGCAAGGCCAUGCCAGAGUAACACAGGAGUAGGAUUAACCAAAGGUACAUAUAUCUUUCAUUUUGAGAAACGGAAUUCAUCUCCUUGUCAAAAUUCUUUCAGAUUACGCAGGUCAUGGAAGUAGGACGAGGCACUUGAAGACCAGAUGAGAUCACGAGCGAUGU